This 429-nucleotide ribosomal RNA is filed under the name Pseudomonadota bacterium. RNAcentral describes it as "Proteobacteria bacterium partial 16S ribosomal RNA". It matches the Rfam family "Bacterial small subunit ribosomal RNA", at positions 355 to 776 of the family's 1533-position model. The record is from RNAcentral. Lineage: Bacteria; Pseudomonadati; Pseudomonadota.
UGGGGAAUAUUGGACAAUGGGCGAAAGCCUGAUCCAGCCAUGCCGCGUGUGUGAAGAAGGUCUUCGGAUUGUAAAGCACUUUAAGUUGGGAGGAAGGGCAGUAAGCGAAUACCUUGCUGUUUUGACGUUACCGACAGAAUAGGCACCGGCUAACUCUGUGCCAGCAGCCGCGGAAAUACAGAGGGUGCAAGCGUUAAUCGGAAUUACUGGGCGUAAAGCGCGCGUAGGUGGUUCGUUAAGUUGAAUGUGAAAGCCCCGGGCUCAACCUGGGAACUGCAUCCAAAACUGGCGAGCUAGAGUAGGGCAGAGGGUGGUGGAAUUUCCUGUGUAGCGGUGAAAUGCGUAGAUAUAGGAAGGAACACCAGUGGCGAAGGCGACCACCUGGGCUCAUACUGACACUGAGGUGCGAAAGCGUGGGGAGCAAACAGG